This 253-nucleotide ribosomal RNA is filed under the name uncultured bacterium. RNAcentral describes it as "partial 16S ribosomal RNA". It matches the Rfam family "Bacterial small subunit ribosomal RNA", at positions 524 to 776 of the family's 1533-position model. The record is from RNAcentral.
UACGUAGGGUGCAAGCGUUAAUCGGAAUUACUGGGCGUAAAGCGUGCGCAGGCGGUUUUGUAAGUCUGAUGUGAAAUCCCCGGGCUCAACCUGGGAAUUGCAUUGGAGACUGCAAGGCUAGAAUCUGGCAGAGGGGGGUAGAAUUCCACGUGUAGCAGUGAAAUGCGUAGAGAUGUGGAGGAACACCGAUGGCGAAGGCAGCCCCCUGGGUUAAGAUUGACGCUCAUGCACGAAAGCGUGGGGAGCAAACAGG